ACGGCGAGUGAAGCGGUAACAGCUCAAAUUUGAAAUCUGGCCUCACGGUCCGAGUUGUAAUUUGUAGAGGAUGCUUCGAGCAUGGUCUGGCCUAAGUUCCUUGGAACAGGACGUCAUAGAGGGUGAGAAUCCCGUAUGCGGCCAGGUGCCUACGCUCAUGUGAAGCUCCUUCGACGAGUCGAGUUGUUUGGGAAUGCAGCUCAAAAUGGGUGGUAAAUUUCAUCUAAAGCUAAAUAUUGGCCAGAGACCGAUAGCGCACAAGUAGAGUGAUCGAAAGAUGAAAAGCACUUUGGAAAGAGAGUUAAACAGUACGUGAAAUUGUUGAAAGGGAAGCGCUUGCAACCAGACUUGCGCGCGGCCGAUCAUCCGGUGUUCUCACCGGUGCACUCGGCCGUGCUCAGGCCAGCAUCGGUUUUGGCGGCUGGAUAAAGGCCCUAGGAAUGUAGCUCCUCUCGGGGAGUGUUAUAGCCUAGGGUGAAAUGCAGCCUGCUGGGACCGAGGACCGCGCUUCGGCUAGGAUGCUGGCGUAAUGGUUGUAAGCGGCCCGUCUUGAAACACGGACCAAGGAGUCUAACAUCUAUGCGAGUGUUUGGGUGUCAAACCCAUACGCGUAAUGAAAGUGAACGGAGGUGAGAACCCUUAAGGGUGCAUCAUCGACCGGUCCUGAAGUUUACGGAAGGAUCUGAGUAAGAGCAUAGCUGUUGGGACCC
This 710-nucleotide ribosomal RNA is filed under the name Pseudogymnoascus sp. Its description in RNAcentral is "partial large subunit ribosomal RNA". It matches the Rfam family "Eukaryotic large subunit ribosomal RNA", at positions 86 to 817 of the family's 3401-position model. Lineage: Eukaryota; Fungi; Ascomycota; Leotiomycetes; Thelebolales; Thelebolaceae. The record is from RNAcentral.